GAUGAACGCUGGCGGUAUGCUUAACACAUGCAAGUCGAACGGACUCUUCGGAGUUAGUGGCGGACGGGUGAGUAACGCGUGAGAAUCUGGCUUUGGGUUCGGGACAACCACUGGAAACGGUGGCUAAUACCGGAUGUGCCGAGAGGUAAAAGAGAAAUUGCCUGAGGAUGAGCUCGCGUCUGAUUAGCUAGUUGGUGAGGUAAAGGCUCACCAAGGCAGCGAUCAGUAGCUGGUCUGAGAGGAUGACCAGCCACACUGGGACUGAGACACGGCCCAGACUCCUACGGGAGGCAGCAGUGGGGAAUUUUCCGCAAUGGGCGAAAGGCUGACGGAGCAAUACCGCGUGAGGGAAGAAGGCUCUUGGGUUGUAAACCUCUUUUCUUAGGGAAGAACAAAAUGACGGUAGCUAAGGAAUCAGCAUCGGCUAACUCCGUG
RNAcentral lists this ribosomal RNA (435 nucleotides) under uncultured bacterium. RNAcentral's name for it is "partial 16S ribosomal RNA". It matches the Rfam family "Bacterial small subunit ribosomal RNA", at positions 28 to 507 of the family's 1533-position model. The record is from RNAcentral.